RNAcentral lists this ribosomal RNA (496 nucleotides) under uncultured bacterium. Its description in RNAcentral is "partial 16S ribosomal RNA". It matches the Rfam family "Bacterial small subunit ribosomal RNA", at positions 29 to 507 of the family's 1533-position model. The record is from RNAcentral.
AUGAACGCUGGCGGCGUGCCUAAUCCAUGCCAGUCGAGCGCACGGACGAGAAGCUUGCUUCUCUGAUGUUAGCGGCGGACGGGUGAGUAACACGUGGAUAACCUACCUAUAAGACUGGGAUAACUUCGGGAAACCGGAGCUAAUACCGGAUAAUAUUUUGAACCGCAUGGUUCAAAAGUGAAAGACGGUCUUGCUGUCACUUAUAGAUGGAUCCGCGCUGCAUUAGCUAGUUGGUAAGGUAACGGCUUACCAAGGCAACGAUGCAUAGCCGACCUGAGAGGGUGAUCGGCCACACUGGAACUGAGACACGGUCCAGACUCCUACGGGAGGCAGCAGUAGGGAAUCUUCCGCAAUGGGCGAAAGCCUGACGGAGCAACGCCGCGUGAGCGAUGAAGGUCUUCGGAUCGUAAAACUCUGUUAUUAGGGAAGAACAUAUGUGUAAGUAACUGUGCACAUCUUGACGGUACCUAAUCAGAAAGCCACGGCUAACUACGUG